UAACACCUCCAGUCAAGGGAAGGGGGAGAGAAGGGGAAGAAUGAUAAACACUAAAUAAAAGGUGGUAGUGAUUUAACAAAUGAAAUAGUAUAGCACUUUGGAUGAGGUGGUAAGAGACCACAAAAGAGGCCAAGAGAUGGUAAACCUUUUUCAAGCAAACUAAUGGGUUAAGUAUACACAUUAUUCCAAGGGUCCUGCUAUUAGUUUAAUUUAUGUCAAAUCAGACAUCAGGUUAGAGAAUCAUAUUGCUGAAUGUCUCUAUCAUGUCAUCAGAGCUGUAACUAAAGCCUACUAAACUUAGGGUGCAAAUAUUUAUCCAAUGUGCCAGACUGGAAAAUGCAAAGUACAUUCCUGCCAGCAGUUUAAAUUGAAGUCGUCUUAUAGAAGGUGUUUGUACAGUGCAUCUUGGCUAGUGGUUAACUUAUUGCUUUAACUGAGCAAUUAUACAAGCUAAAGCUCUCUAGGGACCAAAUCCAAACACACACUGAAAUCAAGACCUUUCUUUACUUUAGUGGGUGUAGGAUCAGGUCCUAAAUCCCAACCAGUAAGUUACAUUAUCAAAAUAGAGUCCAAAAAGAACCAUUAUGUUGAUGGAAGAGAAAAGGUGAAGGAUGACAAACACGGUGUAAACAAGGCUGCUUCAGAAAAGCAGAACUGUACUAGAAUGAAAAUGCAAAUCCUGCUGCUAAAUCCUUUCAGAUCUGUAAUUUGGGGGAGAGCUGACACAUUCUGUAUCACCCUCCUCCCUACUUAGCUGAAUAAGGGAAAUUUUCACUUGGUGCUGUGCUUCCUAGCCACAAAAACAGCAUGUAAAGCUGUUGUGCCCUUUGCUCUUUAAGUCAAAUGCCCAUUGCAAAGAAACAGCUGUUUCAAUGGACGCAGUCUGUAUUGACUAAUUCAGUUCCUAUUUCCUUGGAAAACCAUCUCAAGCCCCAACUAAAAAAAGCCUCUUCAGUUUCCUGCAUUUUUUUUUUAAGUAGCACAUUGCUCCAUAACAUAUGGGGAUCAAAGAGUUAUGAAGGGCUCUACCUUUCCAAGGAGCACAAAAGAGGCCAAGCAAACAGCAGAGGAACACUGGUGAGAGCACCCUGCAGAUUUAUAUUUACUUUGUGCCUUUUCAUCCCAGAUUUUCAAAGGUUUGGUCCAGGUUGCUCUUCCUGGGAAGGUUUUCCUCUCAGUCUUGCAUGAAAACAUUCAGCUUCCUGUUGAGGAAUGGCCUUGAGGCGCCAGGCCAGUGUAUCAGACUGCUGUGAACUAAGUGCUGUGAUUCAAAACUACUCCCCAUUAGCAGCCACCAAUGUCUACUUCACUGAAGGAAAUGAAAUGCUCUUCUGUUGAGAUGAUUCCCUACCUCCUCCCCCUCCCCUUACCAGCAAGCUGUCUUUGAAGUCAUGAGGUUAAAAUAACGACUACGGCCUUGCUCUGGCCUUAAAUUUUUAAACUGGGACCUUUACUUUCUGAGUCAAAGUACAACCGUAGCAAUUUCUGGCUCACGUUUUCAUAACCUCUCCUCAUUCCUUUUUCCACUAGUAAAAGGAGGCUGCUUACAUGAUUCCAAUUGUACAUGGGGAUGUUAAAAAGGAGGCCUAAAGUUAUUGUUUCCAGGGUAAUACUACAGAAAAUUACACAGUCGUUAUCCUGAAAAUGAGGGCUAGGAUAUGGUUUUCCGUAGCUGCCUGUUUUUUAAGGCUAUGGACUGAAAGUAACUUCUACUGCUGAUAGACCAAACAGUACCUUUAAAAAAACCUGAAAUAUGGUGUUGCCUUAAAGAUAUAAAACAGGUCAAAUCAGGAUUCUUUUCAAGAAACCACAGGCAUGUGCUAAGGAGACUGAAGACUUGCCACAUCUGAGACUUCACUGGGGGGGCUGCAGCUGAAGUCUGUCCAAGCCAGGCAUGCCCCAGCAAAGCCCAAUCCACAAGCGAAGUCGGCGCAAUCAAAGACUGCAAUUACAGUUCCCUGGCUGUGGUUAGGCUUCAAAGAAAGUGCUGCAAGUCACAUUUUACAUAUGUGAAGUCUUGAGCCUAAGCCACAGCUUGCCAUUUGCACUGUACAUCAGACUGCAGAAAACAUACACACCCCUUUCUGUCUUUGGAAUAAGUAACUUCAAUGGAAAUAAAAUCAAACAUAAAAAGCUCUUAGAUUUUGAUAAAGCUGAACUUCAGCAACUAGCAAUCCCAGACUUGUGAUUCACAACUGGAUGUUAGUUGGUGAAAAAAUAAAUGAUUUUUGCUUUCCAAAAAAAGAGUGACCAAAGUUUUGCACCUUUUUCCUCCCUACUCCUUGCAAUGAAAUGGAAUGAAUCCUAGUCCCUAGAGAAUUUAUAAGCCUCAUCUCACAGAACGUUACAAAAUAAAGUUACUCAUCUUCAUGAUUAAACAAAGUUGAGAGAAGCUGACAUGGAGGAUGAUGGGGAUUACAGAGAUUCAUCCAAUUCAGUGGAAGCGGGGUGUGUAACUAGCCUUACAAGAAGUGGUGGAUAAAAGGGAGAACUACUAGUCCUCCGGAAAAGGCUAUUUGAGAACAAGUGUGCUUUAAAAUGGGCUGUAUUUGCCUGGUUUUUCCACAGCACUUUGGUGUGGGGCAGUGGAAGGAAGGGUAGAGUAGAGUGUGGGGGGCGGGGAGGGGAGGAUUUCAAUUACAAAACCUGCUUAUUAUAAGUGUGUUUUGAAUGACAUGUCAAACUAUGUCCUGAGCAAAACUAAUUAGAAAUCCAAAUACAUUAUUUUCUUUUGGAGUUUGCAGAACUACGGCUAAAGGCCCAACUUAUUGCUAUUGUUUCUCAAUAUUAAAGACACAAGUAAAUAGAAGAAAAAAAAUCAAGCCACUAGUACAUUCUUAGACUGAAUGAUUUAAAGUCACUCACACACACACUCAUUGAGGCCUUGUCUACCCAGGAAAUUCUUAGUUUUUUCAUCCAUGCUAGCACCAGUUAGGUUCCAUUGCUGGUAGUUACAGUGGGAUUACUAGCAUUAUGCUGAUGCAGCAGCAUCUGCUGCUGUUUUAUAUGACAUGAAUCAAACCUACGCCACAGCAGGGUUAAUGGCAAGGCUUAAAGUGCCAGUGGCUACCUAAAGCCCUGUCAAUGCUAGGGCUUCCACUGGUGGAGUAGAACCAGCAGCAGAUUUUGUUAAAGGCAUUCUAGAGAGCCCGAAGAUGACCCUCAAACUAUCACUGUUACAGUGUUUGAAGGGAUGAUGCUGGAAACUCUGGACCUGUUCUUUCCAUUUCAGACAAGAAACUGUGUAGUUUAUAGUAAAAACUUCAGGUUACCUCUAGGCAGCCAAGACUCCAGCAGCUUCUUUGAGAGAAGAAUGAUCAGUAUAUUAAGACCUGCGAGGGAGGAAAAAUGGGUUUGUGCCCUUUUUGCUUCUUUAUGAUGUAUAAUGAACAUUUGAAGGAAUAAACCUUUCAGAAGAGGCGGGGGGGGGGGGGAGGGUUGCUUUAUUUUACACAUUAGAAAUUCAGUUCGUGUCUACACUAUUCCUGCUGAAAGAUUUGGUCUGAUAAAAGAGUAUAAUAUCACAAGUACCGAGGAAAACCUGCACAAUUGAGAGAGGGAAAUUUAGUCAAGGUUUCAAAUUUUGUAACUCACAACACUAACUCAAGCACCUUGACAGUGUCAGGAGGAAAGAUUCCCUUCAAUUCUCUUAUGUUCCAAGAAAGUAGCUUUCAAUAACAGGGAAACCUGGAUAUUCUUGAUAUUUCAAAAGUAAAUCAAGUAAAAAUUUCUUCAGAUAAAAAAGCAGCAAAAAAUGGCAAAAACUUUUUUCCUUAUAAGUCACAUUUAAGCUAUACAUAUUUUUUUCCACUACAUGCAUCCGAUGAAGUGAGCUGUAGCUCACAAAAAUUUAUGCUCAAAUAAAUGCGUUAGUCUCUCAGGUGCCACAAGGACUCCUUUUCUUUUUGCGGAUACAGACUAACACGGCUGCUACUCUGAAACCUGUCAUUUAAGCUAUAGCAAGUACAGUUUUUGGUUAGACUUAACACUGAUUUGAAGAACCAACCUCAAAAUUCAGCCUAUGCUCAUGAAUGAGUUAAUUCAAAAAUAAUUUUAUAUUGGAACAAAAAUCUCUCCGAUGUUGCAGCCAUCUGUUUUUACAUAGCUCCAUUAACUCCCUCUUUCCCAAGUCCAAAGUUUCCAGUGCAAAGUAGCAAUGCAAAGAACUCACUAUCCCAGCACCAUGGAUUCCAAAGGCUCAAUCAUCAUUUCCUAACCACCACCAACUGCUACAAACAAAAACAAAAACCUUAUCUCUGUUGUGAUCUCAAGCGAAGUACAUAAGGCAAAUAGCAAUAAACAUUUGUCUCCAAUUCUAACAACUCAAGUGGGGACAAAUCUGCAGGAAAAAACAUAUCACAACAAUUUUAACAAAAAAGCUUUUAUCAACUUUCAAGUGAAUGCAAAUUUUUCCACAAUGGAACCUGGAGCUAUUUUUGCACUAAAAUUCUACCUUCUGACCUUUGAAUAUACCGAGGGAGGCUGUGCUUUCCAAAAGCAUAUGCUGGGAAUCAGUGUCAAGAAUUCUAAUUCCACCUAAAUGAGAGCAGAUUUCAUAAACAUUACCCCUAUUUUUAUAAUGAGGAAGCAGACUCAGAAAAAGUAAAUGGACCUGCUCACAUAAUAGCACAGAUGAAUCUACAUCAGCAGAUCCAUGCAGGGAAGAGGUUGUCCUGUCCUUCCCAUCCAGGCCAGGACUAGCAGCCCCUUGGUUGGGGUGCUCCCAGCAGCACAGGGGAGAUCAGACCCACCUCCAGAAACCUCCUCUGGCUUCAGGAAGCUGCAUGGCUGCUGCUGUCAAAGCUCAACUCUGAAGGCAGUGCAGAAGUGAGGGUGGCAAUCCCGUCUCUCACACACACCCCUCCCCUCGUCAUAACAGCUUUGCAACCCGCCGACUUAUUUUUGUAUCGGGACUCUCACAGUUACAACAUUGUGAGCUUUCAGAUGUAAACAUCUGAAAAUGACUAAUUUUAAAGUCCUCUGGCCAUGAAAUUGCUCAAAAUGGACCAUGAAUUUGGUAGGGUCCUACCUAUAUGUACAGCUGUGGAAGCCUUAACCCUGGACACCUUCAAAUUUUUGCUCAUGGGUCAAAGACUUUAAACUGGGGAGAGGAUCAAAGAUUAAAUAGACAGACUUGUCUGGGGGGCAUUGAGGUUUAAAUACCAGAUCAGGCUCAGGAGACUGGUUCAGUUAACAAAUGGCAGAGGUCACUUUGCCAAGUCAAAACCUCUGAGCCUCAGGUUGCUUAUCUGUAAGAUGGUUGUUUUCAUGUUUACUUUACUACAUAAUGUUAGAGUGUUUCCUAAGGGCAAAGUACUAUGAAAUGCCAGCCAGUGGUAAAGGGGAAAUAAAACUCAGGACUAGAGCUGGUCGGAGAAACAUCAAUGGAACCAUAUUCUGUUGGAAUAUGCAGUUCCAUUGAAACUGAAAUGCUUCAUGAUUUGCUUCAUUUUGCCAAAAUUUCAUUUCAUGAGGGGAAAAAAAAAAAAUUCUGAAGGUCAAAACAGCAUGUUUUGAACAUUUUUAGGACAAAAUAUUUUGAUUUUGAAACUACUUAACUUUUGUAAAGGAGAAUUCUGAAAUUUUCAGGUUUCCUUCUGAUUUGAAAUGAAUCUAGAUUUUGAAAUCUUAAAGUAUUUUAUGAAAUGAUUUCCAUCCUCUACACAAGGCUCUACUCAGAACUUCAGUUGCCUGUCUGGUGCUAAAUUCACUAAACCAUGCGAUUUUGAGCAGGUGUGGAGGUGGACUACCAGCAGCCUCCCCUCCUCCUUCCCAAAGGUCAAAAUUAGAGUAGAAGUUUCCCAUUCCUCCCUCAUUCCAACAACACCUUAAAAGUUUUUUGUUUUUUGUUUUUUUUUUUUUUAGUAUUGUCUAUGGAGGGGAUCAUAAGAUUUCAAGAUCUUGUAAAACAACCCCUGCCUCACAGAAAUUUCCUUUGAAAUAGGGUUUUGUUUUAUUAAUUAAAAAUGUUGGUUCUAAUUAGUCAACACUGAUUUACUUACUUUUUGGACUUCAUAAGUUUGGAGUAUGGAAAGGGACAAGUCAGUUUCACUUGUGUAUAGCUCAUCUGAUUUCACUUUCUAGCUCUUGUAGCAGUGUAUGUGGGUUACAAGUAUUGCAGGUUGGGAUUUCAAUACCAAUCAACUUAAUGUUUAAAUCCAUGGAAUCACUUUGACCUUAAAUUUAUAAAAAAAAAAAAAGGUUAGAAAAUGUAUAUGUUCACCCUAGCCUUCACCUGUCACUGGUCCCUUAAAAAUCAAAAGCAACAAACCACACACUAUGCCCUAGGUAACAGAUGGAGACGUGGCACAAAAACUGAAUAGGUUUAUUCUGUUAUCUUUUGGCAUUUGUAGUAGAUAAGUAGAAGAAUGCUCUAUUCCUCAUCGCUCCCAACAGUUGUCACCAUAUUCUCUACAUUUAACCUGAAUAGGAUAAUUUUUUUUAAAUGUUUGUCUUUUUUGUUUCUUCUUAAUGUAUGAACACCUGAAGGGAGGAGACUUAUUCCUUCUUGUUUGUCUUUCACCUUAGAAACGUCACUAUCAAAUCUGAUCUCCCCUUGGUUUUCUGGCAGACCUGCUGUAUACGUUAAGUCCACAUGUGCUUUUACACAUUCUUUGAAGCUUCAACAAAAGAUACCUAUUUCCAAAAUGUUAGUCCCUGAUAUUAACACCUGUUUCAACAAAAACAUUUUAAAUAGUUGACAAAUUAUCUUCUGCUCAGUGGCCCGGUUCUCACUCAACACAUGACGUUAUCAUCAUUACCCUAGUUCUCCAGCCAACAGAGAGCUUCCAGGGUAGACAAGACCUAAUUUCUCAUGUGAUAACAGAUUUUUUUAAAAAUGUAAAUAAGCUUUAUACAUCUUAAAGCAUCAGAGGAGACCAUGCACUUUGCUGGUCACUCAAGACUUAGAAUUAAAUUCACUGUUGUAGUCAUAUUGCCAUUUUUAAGGGAAAGUGAUGGGGUAAUUAUUUUCACCAUUAUAGUUUAGGGUAUUGAUAAGCCAUAUUAAGUGAACACCUCUCUUUUGCGUCUCUGCCAGGAUCAUAAUGUUUACACCUCAAAAACACUUUUGCUGCCAGCCACCUUGCCUGUAUCCAAUGAAGUGAGCUGUAGCUCACAAAAGCUUAUGCUCUAAUAAAUGUUAGUCUCUAAGGUGCCACAAGUACUGCUUUUCUUUUUACUAGAACGCUGUGAGCCAAAAAGGAAAUUUAUAAGCAUUAAAAUAAAGUAAAUAACCACCUCACACAACUGACACAUUAAGACAUCCAGGGUCACAUUUUUUAUGUUCUCCACACCUACAGGAUCUCUACUUACUGAACUCUCCAAUCUGUCACUGGAUUGCUUUUAUUUUUUGCUCAUCUAACAGCAAUUUAGAGAGCUUUACCAGACAAGCGAUAAGGUGUACACUUCAUCUUUAUGUUUCUACAUGACAUCGGCCAGGAAACUAUCUGACCAAGUUCUUUUCCACGUAUUAUAUUUAUGGAAGUAGGUUUGAUCUAGUUUACAUUAUUCUUGUCACUGUCUCACUCAUUUCCACUGCUAUUUAGAAAUAAAUUUUCUUGUUUUGGAUUCGUUAGUUACCCACUAUUCAAAAUCUCAUCCCCUUUUUUUAAUAGCAUUUUGCUCCAAUAUUCCUGUAAGGGAAUAGAUACUUAAAUGUAAAAUAAUUCAUCUUCCACUUAAGCUUCACACACUCACAAAAAAUCAAAAUAAGCCUCUUUAAUAUGUUUUGAUUGUAAAUAAAAAUUAUUCAGGUUUUGUCCUCAUGUUUGAGAGUGUUGCUGAACUAAGUGCUAGUCCUACCAAAUUGUUGAAAGCUGCAAAUAAGAAUAUUUAAUUCUCCCAGCUUUAUUCCUAAUUAUUUUAUCACUCCUUAACUAGCUGAGAACUUGACAAAUGGCAGGGUGAAAAUCAUUAAGUGAUAUGCCAGUCACAGUUCUUGUAUAUGUCAAGCUAAAUAUUUCCACAUUUCAGUGGAACAAUCUAGCGUAGGUUUUUUGUAAGUUUGUUUUUUAGUUGCACCUUUCCAGCAAUUUAGAAGUAGUUAUUCUCAGUUCAUAAUGAGAAAAAGUAGCUUUUUUGAUUCUGUUAAAAUAAAAAUUCAAUAAAGGAAUCUGAAAUCUCCACUUUCUGUACAGAAGUUGCUGCCAUUUAUGGGUUUGCCAAGGAUGCUUGCAUUCAGAGUAUACAAGCUGUCUCACCUUCCCCCUCAAGAGUGACGUUUUCAUUAUCAAUUCAUUGAUCUGAAGCCACCCUCUCUACCAAAAAUGCAACUUUUACCAUUGUUUCCUUCCUCCCUUUCACACCCUCCCAAUUUCUGGAUCAAAAAACUAUUCAGAAGAAGUGCUGUCACUUAACUAAAGCUGGAAAAGGACCACCAGAAAUCAUCUGGGUAGUGGUGGAGGCAACAGCUCAGUCUCGAGACCAGUGAACAUUAAACUGUAAAUCAGGUGCUUUGUCUUUGCUAUUAACUUACUAUGUGGCUUUCAGCAAGUGAUUUUUGUCCUGAUUCCACAAGGCACAGAGCACCCAGAGCUCAGACUCAGACUUUACGUCCAGAAGGGACCAUCAUGAUCAUCUAGUCUGACCUGACCUCUUGCAUACUCCAGGCCACAGAACCUUGCGCAGCCACUCCUGCAGUAGACUCAUAACCUCUGGCUGAGUUACUUAAAUCCUCAAAUCUUGAUUUAAAGACUGCAAGUUUCAGAGAAUCCACCAUUUACUCUACUCUAGUUCAAGCCAGCCAGUGACUUGUGCCCCAUGCUGCCAAGGAUGGUGAAAGACUCCCUGAAUCUCUGCCAAUCUGAUCUGGAGGGAAAUUCUUUCCCAACUCUAAAUAUGGCGGUCAAUUGGACCUUGAGCAUGUGGGUGAGAUCCACCAAACACUUGGGAAAGAAUUCUCCAUAGUAACUCAGAGCCCUCCUCAUCUAGUGUCCUAUUUCUGGCUAUUGGAGAUAUUUGCCACUAUAAGCAAUCAUCAUACUAUCCCCUCCAUAAACUUAUCAACUCAGUCUUAAAACACUAUGUAUUUUUGCCCUCCUUGGAGGGCUGUUCCAGAAUUUCACUCCUCUGACCACCAGAAACCUAAAUUUCUAGUCUAAACUUCUUGAUGGCUAAUUAUAUCCAUUUUUUCUUGUUCCAACUUUGAACCUUAAAUUUAAAGACUCCUCUCUUUCUCCUCUCCUGCUGUUUAUCCCUCUAAUGAAUUUAGAGCAAUCAUUUCUCCUCAACCUUCAUUUGGUUAAGAUAAACAAGCCACGCUCCUUAAGUUGAGAGGCUGCUCAGCACCUUGCAUAUUCUGGUAUGUUGGUUUCCCCUCGAUCUAAAAUUGGGAUGAUAAUAUUUACCAUUAGGUAUAGGGUGACCAGACAGCAAGUAUGAAAAAUCGGGAUGGGGUGGGGGAUAAUAGAAGCCUAUAUAAGAAAAAGACCCAAAAAUCAGGAGUGUCCCUAUAAAAUCAGCAAACCUGAUCACCCUAAUUAGGUAGGGCACAGAAUUGAGUAACAAGGUGUGGGAUUCUAAUUCACUUAACCCCUCUGCAUUCAGUUUGUCCUCCUAUAGCUAUAUAUAUUUGUUAUCCAUUCUAAAAUGCUUGGAGAUUCUCAGACAGUAAGUGUCAAGCAUUAUUGAUCAUCCUGUGAUGGGAGACGCUAUACGUAAAGACUAGCUCCUGAAGGAAUCCUACUGUGAGCAUGGGAGUAGGAUCCUUAUACAGCUAGUGUUAAAAAUUAACAAAAUAUAUGAACGCUCCAGUAACUGAGUACUGUUCUCAAAUCUUACCGUUUCUGUAAGGAAUGUAAUAUAAAGUUUGUUCUCUAUUUUGGUGCAGUUUUCAGUUAAAAAAAAUCUGUACUUGAAAGUUUGUUACAAGUCAUUGCAAUUUUGGUUGUUAAAAAAAAUUGAUCUUUAGUUCCUUGAGACCUGUUUUUCUGCAAUCCUACCAAAUGCCAAGAGCCAGAAGUGUGAGCCAGAAGAACUAUUCUCACUUCAAAGUGAAAUCUAUGUAUUUCAAUUUCUGCACAUGUUAAAAAACAGAUCCAAUUUAUUUCAAAAGAUCAGCAUUUUUGAUCUUUCAAGCUAAAAUAAAAUAGUCACUUCUCUCA
Molecule: long non-coding RNA, 10103 nt
Organism: Dermochelys coriacea (leatherback sea turtle)
Lineage: Eukaryota; Metazoa; Chordata; Testudines; Dermochelyidae
Exons: 2
Source: RefSeq, a predicted model, not a curated record